AUUGAACGCUGGCGGCAGGCCUAACACAUGCAAGUCGAGCGGAUGAAGGGAGCUUGCUCCUGGAUUCAGCGGCGGACGGGUGAGUAAUGCCUAGGAAUCUGCCUGUUAGUGUGGUAUAACGUCCGGAAACGGGCGCUAAUACCACAUACGUCCUGAGGGAGAAAGUGGGGGAUCUUCGGACCUCACGCUAUCAGAUGAGCCUAGGUCGGAUUAGCUAGUUGGUGGGGUAAAGGCCUACCAAGGCGACGAUCCGUAACUGGUCUGAGAGGAUGAUCAGUCACACUGGAACUGAGACACGGUCCAGACUCCUACGGGAGGCAGCAGUGGGGAAUAUUGGACAAUGGGCGAAAGCCUGAUCCAGCCAUGCCGCGUGUGUGAAGAAGGUCUUCGGAUUGUAAAGCACUUUAAGUUGGGAGGAAGGGCAGUAAGUUAAUACCUUGCUGUUUUGACGUUACCAAAAGAAUAAGCACCGGCUAACUUCGUG
Molecule: ribosomal RNA, 484 nt
Filed under: uncultured bacterium
Lineage: Bacteria
Description: partial 16S ribosomal RNA
Rfam family: Bacterial small subunit ribosomal RNA
Source: RNAcentral